UUUAUUAUGGUUGAAUGUUUAGUUCUGUUUUUAAGGAUAAAUUACUAUUAUAAAUUACAUAAAAAAUUUUGAUCUGUAAUUAUAUACAUAAUGCUCACUUUACAAAUAAACAUAAUUUACACAAAAUUUUUGAGUUGAUUAAAACACUAAUUUAUUGCUUCUAUGCCCAAUAUAAUUUACGCUAAAUUGUCCCAUAUCAAUUACACUAGUGUUAUCUUUUGAAUUUAGAAAUAUAAGUUAUUAAAUGUUGGUGGCUCAUCAUGCAGUGCAUUUGAGAAGGGCAUGCUUUCAAAGGUUAAGACUGCUUUCCUGAUUCCUACAACAACAAAAAAUCAUUAAAAUGCUGGUGGCAAUAUUUUAAAGAGUGCAUCUGAUCAAAAAGAAGGUGAAUGACGUCAACUUUUCGAACAUUCGAUUCUUGGAAAUUAAUAAGUGGAAAAAGAAGUUUACAAAAUUGUAAUUUAUAAAACUCAGCACAAUUAUAUUAUUAAAAAAAUUAAAACGA
Hydra vulgaris (swiftwater hydra) is the source of this 505-nucleotide long non-coding RNA. RefSeq lists it as uncharacterized. The record is from RefSeq and is a predicted model, not a curated record. Lineage: Eukaryota; Metazoa; Cnidaria; Hydrozoa; Anthoathecata; Hydridae.